Molecule: non-coding RNA, 31 nt
Organism: Takifugu rubripes (torafugu)
Lineage: Eukaryota; Metazoa; Chordata; Actinopteri; Tetraodontiformes; Tetraodontidae
Source: Rfam
AUGUUAUCGGGAGCAGUGCCUUCCAUAAUUA